UACAGAGGGUGCAAGCGUUGUUCGGAAUUACUGGGCGUAAAGGGCGCGUAGGCGGUUUAGUAAGUCAGAUAUGAAAGCCUGGGGCUCAACCCCAGAAUUGCAUUUGAAACUGCUAGGCUAGAGUGCAGUAGAGGAUGGCGGAAUACCUAGUGGAGAGGUGAAAUUCGUAGAUAUUAGGUGGAACACCGGUGGCGAAGGCGGCCAUCUGGGCUGUAACUGACGCUGAGGCGCGAGAGCGUGGGGAGCGAACAGG
This 253-nucleotide ribosomal RNA is filed under the name uncultured bacterium. RNAcentral's name for it is "partial 16S ribosomal RNA". It matches the Rfam family "Bacterial small subunit ribosomal RNA", at positions 524 to 776 of the family's 1533-position model. The record is from RNAcentral.